AGGCAUUCCCAGCUCCCACUUCCAUUCCUGGCGUACAGUAGGCGCUAGAUAAAUCCUUCCAGCCUUGUUAACUCAUGUUGGUAGCGGCGAUCCCUUGGCUAACUGAAACUCCGUGCCCUCUUUGACUGGGGGUGAAGCAAAUGGCUUCCGGGAAUUAACUGGCUCUAAAAUCCUGUAAUGUGGCUGUCUUGAUUAUACUGAUGCUUUCCAGUUUAUAGUGUUAAGGC
Molecule: long non-coding RNA, 227 nt
Filed under: Monodelphis domestica (gray short-tailed opossum)
Lineage: Eukaryota; Metazoa; Chordata; Mammalia; Didelphimorphia; Didelphidae
Description: lncRNA (ENSMODG00000043706.1)
Source: RNAcentral